RNAcentral lists this ribosomal RNA (252 nucleotides) under uncultured bacterium. RNAcentral describes it as "partial 16S ribosomal RNA". It matches the Rfam family "Bacterial small subunit ribosomal RNA", at positions 525 to 776 of the family's 1533-position model. The record is from RNAcentral.
ACGGAGGGUGCAAACGUUGUUCGGAAUCAUUGGGCGUAAAGGGCACGUAGGCGGCACAUUAGGUCGGGUGUGAAAUCCCAGGGCUCAACCCUGGAAUUGCGCUCGAAACCGGUGCGCUUGAGUUCCGGAGGGAGAAGUGGAAUUCUUGGUGUAGGGGUGAAAUCCGUAGAUAUCAGGAGGAACACCAGUGGCGAAGGCGACUUCUUGGCCGAGAACUGACGCUGAUGUGCGAAAGCGUGGGUAGCAAACAGG